GACGAACGCUGGCGGCGUGCUUAACACAUGCAAGUCGAACGGAAAGGCCCUGCUUUUUUGGGGUGCUCGAGUGGCGAACGGGUGAGUAACACGUGAGUAACCUGCCCUUGACUUUGGGAUAACUUCAGGAAACUGGGGCUAAUACCGGAUAGGAGCUCCUGCUGCAUGGUGGGGGUUGGAAAGUUUCGGCGGUUGGGGAUGGACACGCGGCUUAUCGGCUUGUUGGUGGGGUAGUGGCUUACCAAGGCUUUGACGGGUAGCCGGCCUGAGAGGGUGACCGGCCACAUUGGGACUGGGAUACGACCCAGACUCCUACGGGAGGCAGCGGUGGGGAAGAUUGCACAGUGGGAGGAGGCCUGAUGCGGCAACGCCGCGUGCGGGAUGACGGCCUUCGGGUUGUAAACCGCUUUCGCCUGUGACGAGGCGUGAGUGACGGUAAUGGGUAAAUAAGCACCGGCUAACUACGUG
This 468-nucleotide ribosomal RNA is filed under the name uncultured bacterium. RNAcentral describes it as "partial 16S ribosomal RNA". It matches the Rfam family "Bacterial small subunit ribosomal RNA", at positions 28 to 507 of the family's 1533-position model. The record is from RNAcentral.